This 498-nucleotide ribosomal RNA is filed under the name uncultured bacterium. RNAcentral describes it as "partial 16S ribosomal RNA". It matches the Rfam family "Bacterial small subunit ribosomal RNA", at positions 28 to 507 of the family's 1533-position model. The record is from RNAcentral.
GAUGAACGCUGGCGGCGUGCCUAAUACAUGCAAGUCGAGCGAACAGACGAGGAGCUUGCUCCUCUGACGUUAGCGGCGGACGGGUGAGUAACACGUGGAUAACCUACCUAUAAGACUGGGAUAACUUCGGGAAACCGGAGCUAAUACCGGAUAAUAUAUUGAACCGCAUGGUUCAAUAGUGAAAGACGGUUUUGCUGUCACUUAUAGAUGGAUCCGCGCCGCAUUAGCUAGUUGGUAAGGUAACGGCUUACCAAGGCAACGAUGCGUAGCCGACCUGAGAGGGUGAUCGGCCACACUGGAACUGAGACACGGUCCAGACUCCUACGGGAGGCAGCAGUAGGGGAAUCUUCCGCAAUGGGCGAAAGCCUGACGGAGCAACGCCGCGUGAGUGAUGAAGGUCUUCGGAUCGUAAAACUCUGUUAUUAGGGAAGAACAAAUGUGUAAGUAACUAUGCACGUCUUGACGGUACCUAAUCAGAAAGCCACGGCUAACUACGUG